This is a long non-coding RNA of Sander lucioperca (pikeperch), 1373 nucleotides long. RefSeq lists it as uncharacterized. The transcript has 4 exons. NCBI's taxonomy places the organism in Eukaryota, Metazoa, Chordata, Actinopteri, Perciformes, Percidae. The record is from RefSeq and is a predicted model, not a curated record.
GAUUACGGAUCCAACGUCGGAGGUGCCGGAACAUGUUCCGGCGUGUUCCGGCGUGUUCCGGCUCAAAUUAAGCCCUGCCCGCCACCAUAAACCAUUUAAUACUGGACUGCAUCUUCCACCCCAAAUGGCGAUCCCGAUAAGAUGGAGGCCAAGUGGCAGAGCAUGCUGAACCAUGUUCAGGAUAUACAUGAACACAGCUACCCUUCAUUUCCGCAAUGUACACACCCACCUCUGGAAGGAGAGGGAAGAAACAAGCAGUGGCUUGAACCAGGAUCAACAGCUGCGAUGAAGUUGGAAAGUGUUGCUUCCAGAAUGCCCUGCUGAAGGAUAUUCAACGGCUCUCACAGGAACACCAAACAUUUUCCUUGGAGGCAUUCCAUUCUUUAAUCCUGCACUUUGCGCCAAAGCACACCGGCUACUCUUUUCUUGGAAUGUACAGCAGACUUCUCUUAGCGUCCUUCCACUUCCACAGACGUAGCCCAAACAAAUAAUGGUGAGGCACGCUAUGCAGUUCGUUACCCCCGGUUUCGUAAGGGUGGCUGGGUCAUUCCACCCAUAAAAGAGAAACCAUCAUACGAAUAUGCAUCGACCCUGAUGAUCUCACUGAAAGAGGGAUACAUAAGGUCACCACAGGCUCUCAAAGAAGACAGCACCAUCCUGUCCUCAGCUGCACCUGCCCCUCUUUCCACGCAUCACAAGAUCGUCAAGGAUGAGGCAGUCGGUCACCAUCUUGAACGUCAUUCACGUUUUAAGUCCUAGUUACUACCAAUGAAAUUAUAAAUACAUUUUAUACAACACACUUUGUGUGAUUGUGUGUUCAUUUUGUAAAAAAAAAUAUUUUUAUUGAUUGCCUCCCAUAUGGGGCCAUUGGAAGCCUCUGUAUGUCCCUCCUUCCUCUGAAAACUGCCUCCUAAUUGCGGCCACAACACAAGCAGGUAUCGCCUUCCUGAUCUCCCUGCCCAGAAACUGUGUGUGUAUCGGAAUUGCCUAGAGUAAUGAUAGGGGUGCAAUCUUGAUAUUGAUAAUCCUGUUAACAUAGUCAAUACGAUCAAGAGUGAUAGAAGUAUUUGAUGUAACAUUUUCUGUUAUUCUAUUCCAUAAAAGGUAUGUAUGCACAUCGGAGUUUAAAAAUCUGCUAAACCCUCAGCAUCAAUAAUGCACAUAAUUUUGACACAAAGUUUAUGUUAUUUGUGUAGAAAACUGACGACUAUAAUAGAAGUGUAUAAUAAUAUAAUAGUGUUAUAAAUUAGUCUUGUCUAAACAUACUCUGGUAUGUUGGCUUGGAGAGGGCUAUGCUCCUGCCUGAAGUUGAGGUAUGCUACCUGCAGCGAGAAUGGGUUGAGGCAGCAGGCAUCAAAGCCGGGAUGGAGCGU